This 313-nucleotide ribosomal RNA is filed under the name uncultured Glomus. Its description in RNAcentral is "SSU rRNA". It matches the Rfam family "Eukaryotic small subunit ribosomal RNA", at positions 569 to 886 of the family's 1831-position model. The record is from RNAcentral. Lineage: Eukaryota; Fungi; Glomeromycota; Glomeromycetes; Glomerales; Glomeraceae.
AGCAGCCGCGGUAAUUCCAGCUCCAAUAGCGUAUAUUAAAGUUGUUGCAGUUAAAAAGCUCGUAGUUGAACUUCGGGAUCAAUGGAUCGGUCAUGCCGUUGGUAUGUACUGGUCACAUUGGUUCUCACCUUCUAAGGAACCAUGAUGUCAUUCAUUUGAUGUUGUGGGGAAUUAGGACUGUUACCUUGAAAAAAUUAGAGUGUUUAAAGCAGGCUAACGCUUGAAUACAUUAGCAUGGAAUAAUGAAAUAGGACAUCGCAUUCUAUUUUGUUGGUUUCUAGGAUCACCGUAAUGAUUAAUAGGGAUAGUUGGG